GCUGGGCUUGGUAGCACGAGCUUGUAACCCAAGUGGGAGCAUUAAGAUGGUGGAACGUAGGGCUUGCCUUGAAGGCUGGGCUGGGGUUGCUAUCCACUCGCCUGCCUGUUCCAAGUGGUGAGUCUCGCAGAGGCUUCACUGUCCUUAGAUUGGAGGAUAACUGGCUGGUGCAACCUCAGUCCACCAGUGCCUGAUGGGCUGCCCAAGUGAACCCCCAUCUUU
RNAcentral lists this signal recognition particle RNA (222 nucleotides) under Ipomoea nil (Japanese morning glory). Its description in RNAcentral is "Plant signal recognition particle RNA". It matches the Rfam family "Plant signal recognition particle RNA". The record is from Rfam by way of RNAcentral. Lineage: Eukaryota; Viridiplantae; Streptophyta; Magnoliopsida; Solanales; Convolvulaceae.